UUAGCCUAUUGCUUACAACUAAUGAGCUCCAAGAAGAGCAAAACCAAUUAGGUCCUACAGUACUGGCCUAAUAAAGA
Molecule: non-coding RNA, 77 nt
Filed under: Mesitornis unicolor (brown roatelo)
Lineage: Eukaryota; Metazoa; Chordata; Aves; Mesitornithiformes; Mesitornithidae
Source: RNAcentral